AGACCCGAAACCCGGUGAUCUAGCCAUGGGCAGGUUGAAGGUUGGGUAACACUAACUGGAGGACCGAACCGACUAAUGUUGAAAAAUUAGCGGAUGACCUGUGGCUGGGGGUGAAAGGCCAAUCAAACCGGGAGAUAGCUGGUUCUCCCCGAAAGCUAUUUAGGUAGCGCCUCGUGAAUUCAUCUCCGGGGGUAGAGCACUGUUUCGGCUAGGGGGCCAUCCCGGCUUACCAACCCGAUGCAAACUGCGAAUACCGGAGAAUGUUAUCACGGGAGACACACGGCGGGUGCUAACGUCCGUCGUGAAGAGGGAAACAACCCAGACCGCCAGCUAAGGUCCCAAAGUCAUGGUUAAGUGGGAAACGAUGUGGGAAGGCCCAGACAGCCAGGAUGUUGGCUUAGAAGCAGCCAUCAUUUAAAGAAAGCGUAAUAGCUCACUGGUCGAGUCGGCCUGCGCGGAAGAUGUAACGGGGCUAAACCAUGCACCGAAGCUGCGGCAGCGACACUGUGUGUUGUUGGGUAGGGGAGCGUUCUGUAAGCCUGUGAAGGUGUGUCGUGAGGCAUGCUGGAGGUAUCAGAAGUGCGAAUGCUGACAUAAGUAACGAUAAAGCGGGUGAAAAGCCCGCUCGCCGGAAGACCAAGGGUUCCUGUCCAACGUUAAUCGGGGCAGGGUGAGUCGACCCCUAAGGCGAGGCCGAAAGGCGUAGUCGAUGGGAAACGGGUUAAUAUUCCCGUACUUGGUGUUACUGCGAAGGGGGGACGGAGAAGGCUAUGUUGGCCGGGCGACGGUUGUCCCGGUUUAAGUGUGUAGGUGUGUGUUCCAGGUAAAUCCGGUUCACUUUAACACUGAGGCGUGACGACGAGGCACUACGGUGCUGAAGCAACAAAUGCCCUGCUUCCAGGAAAAGCCUCUAAGCAUCAGGUAACAUCAAAUCGUACCCCAAACCGACACAGGUGGUCAGGUAGAGAAUACCAAGGCGCUUGAGAGAACUCGGGUGAAGGAACUAGGCAAAAUGGUGCCGUAACUUCGGGAGAAGGCACGCUGACACGUAGGUGAAGUGAUUUACUCAUGGAGCUGAAGUCAGUCGAAGAUACCAGCUGGCUGCAACUGUUUAUUAAAAACACAGCACUGUGCAAACACGAAAGUGGACGUAUACGGUGUGACGCCUGCCCGGUGCCGGAAGGUUAAUUGAUGGGGUCAGCGCAAGCGAAGCUCCUGAUCGAAGCCCCGGUAAACGGCGGCCGUAACUAUAACGGUCCUAAGGUAGCGAAAUUCCUUGUCGGGUAAGUUCCGACCUGCACGAAUGGCGUAAUGAUGGCCAGGCUGUCUCCACCCGAGACUCAGUGAAAUUGAACUCGCUGUGAAGAUGCAGUGUACCCGCGGCAAGACGGAAAGACCCCGUGAACCUUUACUAUAGCUUGACACUGAACAUUGAGCCUUGAUGUGUAGGAUAGGUGGGAGGCUUUGAAGUGUGGACGCCAGUCUGCAUGGAGCCGACCUUGAAAUACCACCCUUUAAUGUUUGAUGUUCUAACGUGGACCCGUUACCCGGGUUGCGGACAGUGUCUGGUGGGUAGUUUGACUGGGGCGGUCUCCUCCUAAAGAGUAACGGAGGAGCACG
RNAcentral lists this ribosomal RNA (1620 nucleotides) under Salmonella enterica. Its description in RNAcentral is "partial 23S ribosomal RNA". It matches the Rfam family "Bacterial large subunit ribosomal RNA", at positions 711 to 2312 of the family's 2925-position model. Lineage: Bacteria; Pseudomonadati; Pseudomonadota; Gammaproteobacteria; Enterobacterales; Enterobacteriaceae. The record is from RNAcentral.